GCCGGUGAGAAUCCGGCACGGUACCGCCACUGUGUAGGGGGAGCGACUCCACCCACGGCCACCGGCCCCGCCAGGGUCCGGGAAGGCCGGAGAAGCCGUGAUCCCGAGUCAGGAGA
Molecule: non-coding RNA, 116 nt
Filed under: Streptomyces sp.
Lineage: Bacteria; Bacillati; Actinomycetota; Actinomycetes; Kitasatosporales; Streptomycetaceae
Also listed under: 1 other name
Source: RNAcentral